UUUACCUACGGGACGCAGCAGUGAGGAAUAUUGGUCAAUGGACGAGAGUCUGAACCAGCCAAGUAGCGUGAAGGAUGACUGCCCUAUGGGUUGUAAACUUCUUUUAUAUGGGAAUAAAGUGAGCCACGUGUGGCUUUUUGUAUGUACCAUACGAAUAAGGAUCGGCUAACUCCGUGCCAGCAGCCGCGGUAAUACGGAGGAUCCGAGCGUUAUCCGGAUUUAUUGGGUUUAAAGGGAGCGUAGAUGGGUUGUUAAGUCAGUUGUGAAAGUUUGCGGCUCAACCGUAAAAUUGCAAUUGAUACUGG
Molecule: ribosomal RNA, 305 nt
Filed under: uncultured bacterium
Lineage: Bacteria
Description: bacterial SSU rRNA
Rfam family: Bacterial small subunit ribosomal RNA
Source: RNAcentral